UAAUAAUUUAUUUAUAUUUAUAUUCUUUAAUUUAUAAUAUACUAAUUUUAUCAUUAUUUCUAUUUUUUUAUUAUUAAAAAAUAUUUUUUUAUAAAAAAUUAAAUAAUAUUAAAUUUUAUUUAAUAUAAAAUUUUUUUUAAUAAAUUAUAAUUUUUAAACAAUAUAAAUUUUAAAAAUUUUAUUAAUAAUUAUUUUUUAUUAUAAAUAUUUAAAUUAAAGCUUAUCCCUUAAAAUAUUUAAUUUUGAAAAUUUUAUAUUUAAUUAAUCAAAUAUAAAAUUUUUCAAAUUUAAAAUUAAAUUUUUUUCUAAAAAAACUAGAUAUAUUUAAAAACGAUUAACAUUUCAUCUCCAAUUAAUUAUUUAAAAUAAUUAUUCAACAUUAACUUUUAUAAUUAAUUAACUCUUUUAAAUUCGAGAUUUUAUUAUUUAUUAAAUAUUUUUUAAUAAACUCUGAUACACAAGAUACAAUAAAUUAAAUUUACUUUUUUUAUAUUUUUUUUUCAAUUUUAUUUCAAAUUUCUUUUACAAUAUUAAUUUACUAUAAAAUUUUUCAUUUUUUUAUAAAAAAUACUUUAAUACCCCCCAAUAUUAAAAUUUUUUUUAUUAAUUUUAUUUUAUUAAUUUACCCCC
Molecule: ribosomal RNA, 630 nt
Filed under: Argynnis mormonia
Lineage: Eukaryota; Metazoa; Arthropoda; Insecta; Lepidoptera; Nymphalidae
Description: Speyeria mormonia partial large subunit ribosomal RNA
Source: RNAcentral